CAGCCGCCGCGGUAAUACGUAGGUCCCGAGCGUUGUCCGGAUUUAUUGGGCGUAAAGCGAGCGCAGGUGGUUUAAUAAGUCUGAUGUAAAAGGCAGUGGCUCAACCAUUGUGUGCAUUGGAAACUGUUAGACUUGAGUGCAGUAGAGGAGAGUGGAAUUCCAUGUGUAGCGGUGAAAUGCGUAGAUAUAUGGAGGAACACCGGUGGCGAAAGCGGCUCUCUGGACUGUAACUGACACUGAGGCUCGAAAGCGUGGGUAGCAAACAGG
This 267-nucleotide ribosomal RNA is filed under the name uncultured prokaryote. RNAcentral's name for it is "partial 16S ribosomal RNA". It matches the Rfam family "Bacterial small subunit ribosomal RNA", at positions 509 to 776 of the family's 1533-position model. The record is from RNAcentral.